UGCCUGGCGGCCGUAGCGCGGUGGUCCCACCUGACCCCAUGCCGAACUCAGAAGUGAAAACGCCGUAGCGCCGAUGGUAGUGUGGGGUCUCCCCAUGCGAGAGUAGGGAACUGCCAGGCAU
This 121-nucleotide ribosomal RNA is filed under the name Escherichia coli ISC7. The record is from RNAcentral. Lineage: Bacteria; Pseudomonadati; Pseudomonadota; Gammaproteobacteria; Enterobacterales; Enterobacteriaceae.